AUGCACGCUGACAGAAUGCUUAACACAUGCCAGUCACCUUGAAUUUGGGUUUUUAACUUAGGUUUGGGUGGCGGACGGGUGAGUAACGCGUAAAGAACUUGCCUCACAGCUAGGGACAACAUUUGGAAACGAAUGCUAAUACCUAAUAUUAUGAUAAUAGGGCAUCCUAUAAUUAUGAAAGCUAUAAGCGCUGUGAGAGAGCUUUGCGUCCCAUUAGCUAGUUGGAGAGGUAACGGCUCACCAAGGCGAUGAUGGGUAGCCGGCCUGAGAGGGUGAUCGGCCACAAGGGGACUGAGACACGGCCCUUACUCCUACGGGAGGCAGCAGUGGGGAAUAUUGGACAAUGGACCAAGAGUCUGAUCCAGCAAUUCUGUGUGCACGAUGAAGUUUUUCGGAAUGUAAAGUGCUUUCAGUUGGGAAGAAAGAAAUGACGGUACCAACAGAAGAAGUGACGGCUAAAUACGUG
This 466-nucleotide ribosomal RNA is filed under the name uncultured bacterium. Its description in RNAcentral is "partial 16S ribosomal RNA". It matches the Rfam family "Bacterial small subunit ribosomal RNA", at positions 29 to 507 of the family's 1533-position model. The record is from RNAcentral.